AAGGUUUCAAAUUUGAAAACAUAUAAUUUGAAACUAUAAAAAACAAUUAUUUUAAUUUUAAUUUCAAUUAUUUAUUUAUGUUUAUUAAGCAUUUGCAAGCUAUUUGGAAGAUAUAAACAGCAUGAAAGAGAAUUUUUUCCGAGUAGAGAUUAUCUAUGUACCAAGAACGCAGAACAAGAAGGCAUAUAGCUUAGCCCGCAGUGCUAGGAAGAAAACGUCUUUUGUAGUUCACAUGAAUCAAGAUCUC
Molecule: long non-coding RNA, 247 nt
Filed under: Brassica rapa (field mustard)
Lineage: Eukaryota; Viridiplantae; Streptophyta; Magnoliopsida; Brassicales; Brassicaceae
Description: long non-coding RNA (BRAP_LNC007680)
Source: RNAcentral